UACGUAGGGUGCAAGCGUUGUCCGGAAUUAUUGGGCGUAAAGAGCUCGUAGGCGGCUUGUCGCGUCGAAUGUGAAAACUCGGGGCUCAACUCCGAGCUUGCAUUCGAUACGGGCAGGCUAGAGUUCGGUAGGGGAGACUGGAAUUCCUGGUGUAGCGGUGAAAAUGCGCAGAUAUCAGGAGGAACACCGGUGGCGAAGGCGGGUCUCUGGGCCGAUACUGACGCUGAGGAGCGAAAGCGUGGGGAGCGAACAGG
Molecule: ribosomal RNA, 254 nt
Filed under: uncultured bacterium
Lineage: Bacteria
Description: partial 16S ribosomal RNA
Rfam family: Bacterial small subunit ribosomal RNA
Source: RNAcentral